CUUCCUCCAAUUUUUUUAUAAUCUUACUAGUCUCUGAAUCUUCCUGCCAUUCCAUCUUAAUAUCCUUAAGAAAGUCGUUGGUCAGAAGUGAAACAGCCAAAACUUCAACUUACUCGGGUAGCUGCGAAAGCGCAUAUGCUAGAACAUUCUCUUUCCCCUUUUUGUAAGUUAUUUCAUAAUCAAAUCCAAGAAGUUUUGUUACCCAUUUUUGCUGCUCAGGGGAUGAUAUCUUUCGCUCCAAAAAGUACUUGAGGC
Molecule: long non-coding RNA, 255 nt
Filed under: Musa acuminata (dwarf banana)
Lineage: Eukaryota; Viridiplantae; Streptophyta; Magnoliopsida; Zingiberales; Musaceae
Description: long non-coding RNA (MACU_LNC004023)
Source: RNAcentral